Molecule: transfer RNA, 85 nt
Filed under: uncultured Enterococcus sp.
Lineage: Bacteria; Bacillati; Bacillota; Bacilli; Lactobacillales; Enterococcaceae
Rfam family: tRNA
About the family: Transfer RNA (tRNA) molecules are approximately 80 nucleotides in length. Their secondary structure includes four short double-helical elements and three loops (D, anti-codon, and T loops).
Source: RNAcentral
GAGAGUUGGCAGAGUGGUAAUGCAACGGACUCGAAAUCCGUCGAACCGCCUUUAUGCGGUGCGCAGGUUCAAAUCCUGUACUCUC